Lotus japonicus is the source of this 118-nucleotide small nuclear RNA. RefSeq annotates it as U5 spliceosomal RNA. The record is from RefSeq and is a predicted model, not a curated record. NCBI's taxonomy places the organism in Eukaryota, Viridiplantae, Streptophyta, Magnoliopsida, Fabales, Fabaceae. The transcript has a single exon.
AGCCAUGUGGUGAGCACAAAGCCAACUAUUCUUUCGCCUUUUUCUAAAGAAUACCGUGUGCUCUCCACUCAAUAUGGCGUGCGCCCAUUUUUGAGAGGUGACUUUCUUAAGAAAGUCC